GAUGAACGCUGGCGGCGUGCCUAAUACGUGCAAGUCGAGCGAACGGACGAGAAGCUUGCUUCUCUGAUGUUAGCGGCGGACGGGUGAGUAACACGUGGAUAACCUACCUAUAAGACUGGGAUAACUUCGGGAAACCGGAGCUAAUACCGGAUAAUAUUUUGAACCGCAUGGUUCAAAAGUGAAAGACGGUCUUGCUGUCACUUAUAGAUGGAUCCGCGCUGCAUUAGCUAGUUGGUAAGGUAACGGCUUACCAAGGCAACGAUGCAUAGCCGACCUGAGAGCGUGAUCGGCCCCACUGGAUCUGAGACACGGUCCAGACUCCUACGGGAGGCAGCAGUAGGGAAUCUUCCGCAAUGGGCGAAAGCCUGACGGAGCAACGCCGCCUGAGUGCUGAAGGUCUUCGGAUCGUAAAACUCUGUUAUUAGGGAAGAACAUAUGUGUAAGUUACUGUGCACAUCUUGACGGUACCUAAUCAGAAAGCCACGGCUAACUACGUG
This 497-nucleotide ribosomal RNA is filed under the name uncultured bacterium. RNAcentral's name for it is "partial 16S ribosomal RNA". It matches the Rfam family "Bacterial small subunit ribosomal RNA", at positions 28 to 507 of the family's 1533-position model. The record is from RNAcentral.